RNAcentral lists this long non-coding RNA (1040 nucleotides) under Anas platyrhynchos platyrhynchos (common mallard). RNAcentral's name for it is "lncRNA (ENSAPLG00000027539.1)". Lineage: Eukaryota; Metazoa; Chordata; Aves; Anseriformes; Anatidae. The record is from RNAcentral.
CAAGCCAGGCUUCGUUUCUUUUUUUCUGCUAAACAAAAGUCAAAUCCUCAGCUUCAUUAAUAUAAUUUCCAUGCAUUUAAAUGUGAAAAUUUGAGCUUUUUUUUCCAGGAUGCGGCAGUUCCUUAUUGCAGCAUUAGGAUUACUUGGAGAUUUUCAUCUCAGGCUUUCCCUUGCUGCUUUACCUCUCAGAGUGGUCUUCAGCACUCAGUAGUCCUCCCUGGGGAUGUCCAGCAAUGCAGAGCCUUCGCUGAAACCCUGGCGCCAGAUGCAAUCAUUUAUAAUUUCUCCUGCAACAUACAGACCCGAGUCAUAGCCAGUUUCCUUCAGAGAAACAUCUGUGCUAUCAGUGCCCUAGCAGCUGUGCUGGCUCUCUUGAUUUAAGUUGGAAAUAUUUCUGUCAAUUGGUGAAACUAUCAUAAGAUGAUCCUUGUUUCCUCACACAGUCUGGGAUAAGAAGGAUCCAUUUCACACUUGUUUCAUAGUCCAGAAGUCUUACACUCAAUUUAUUACUUUUGUAUCUGGACUGCUGGUAUAUAAGUUACACACUUCCUAAUACACAUCUCUACAUCUUUUAUCCUAGACCAUCACACUCGACUCUGUAAAUUCAUCAAGGUUUUGUUUAUUCCUGAAUUUCCCUGAGCAUGAACUUACUCUGUCAACCUGUUCUGUGUGUGUUCAGGCAUAAUCCAGCAUUUACACAGGUCUAUAGACUUGUGGUACCCUAUCUCUUUCCAUCUCAAACUUUCUCCUUCUUCCACUAAAUCAGAGAGGGUUAGGUCCUGUGCUUGCAAUGCUAUCUUGCCUACGUUCUCUGUCCUUCCUGCUUGAGAUGAUGGAUCAGGUUAAGGACUUCUUGGCCUUGCAUGAUGAAGCUAAAUGAAGUGUGCUCCCUGCUGACUGCAUGCCCUUCCAGACCAAGCACGGGUCCUACACCACACAAUCUGAAGCAUGACACUGGCACUGGCUGAUCCAGUGUUAUGGCUUUUAAUGCUGCCACCUGUCAGUUGGAGCAUAUGAUGACAGCAAUUUUCUCAUGAUCG